UUAAAAAUUAUGAAUGAAUUCUCAUCCAGUAAGUAGUAACAGUAGUCUGUGAUUUUUUAUUAUUGAAAAUUUUUUUCCAACAAAGUUUUAGUUCAGAAGAGCCUUUUACUGAAUAAAGGCUUGUAUUUUAAUACACGUGUAGGGUUUUUCUGCCAAUGGCUUGUAGCGGCACUUCAGUUUCCUCAACCAAUAAAAACUCGCAGCCACA
RNAcentral lists this long non-coding RNA (208 nucleotides) under Mytilus galloprovincialis (Mediterranean mussel). Lineage: Eukaryota; Metazoa; Mollusca; Bivalvia; Mytilida; Mytilidae. The record is from RNAcentral.